RNAcentral lists this non-coding RNA (69 nucleotides) under Phaeobacter inhibens. RNAcentral describes it as "Glycine sequence". It matches the Rfam family "Glycine riboswitch aptamer", at positions 7 to 88 of the family's 94-position model. Rfam says of the family: This family represents the bacterial glycine riboswitch. Glycine riboswitches usually consist of two metabolite-binding aptamers domains with similar structures in tandem. The aptamers cooperatively bind glycine to regulate the expression of downstream genes. Lineage: Bacteria; Pseudomonadati; Pseudomonadota; Alphaproteobacteria; Rhodobacterales; Roseobacteraceae. The record is from RNAcentral.
CACUCUGGAGAGAUCCUGACCACAUCAGGGCGCCGAAGGGAUAACGAUCUCAGGCAAAGGGACAGAGGG